Molecule: ribosomal RNA, 400 nt
Filed under: uncultured bacterium
Lineage: Bacteria
Description: bacterial SSU rRNA
Rfam family: Bacterial small subunit ribosomal RNA
Source: RNAcentral
UAGGGAAUAUUGGUCAAUGGACGCAAGUCUGAACCAGCCAUGCCGCGUGCAGGAUGAAUGUCCUAUGGAUUGUAAACUGCUUUUAUAUGGGAAGAAACCCCUGGAUGCGUCCGGGGCUGACGGUACCAUUUGAAUAAGGAUCGGCUAACUUCGUGCCAGCAGCCGCGGUAAGACGAAGGAUUCAAGCGUUGUCCGGAUUUACUGGGUUUAAAGGGUGCGUAGGCGGAAAGCUAAGUCAGUGGUGAAAGCCCGCAGCUCAACUGCGGAACUGCCAUUGAAACUGGCCUUCUUGAAUACAGUGGAGGUAGAUGGAAUAUAACAUGUAGCGGUGAAAUGCUUAGAUAUGUUAUAGAACACCGAUUGCGAAGGCAGUCUGCUACACUGUCAUUGACGCUGAGGC